UAACCUGCCCAAGAGAUCGGGAUAACACCUGGAAACAGAUGCUAAUACCGGAUAACAAUAGAUGAUGCCUAUCAACUGUUUAAAAGAUGGUUCUGCUAUCACUCUUGGAUGGACCUGCGGUGCAUUAGCUAGUUGGUAGGGUAACGGCCUACCAAGGCGAUGAUGCAUAGCCGAGUUGAGAGACUGAUCGGCCACAUUGGGACUGAGACACGGCCCAAACUCCUACGGGAGGCAGCAGGG
RNAcentral lists this ribosomal RNA (240 nucleotides) under uncultured Lactobacillus sp. Its description in RNAcentral is "partial 16S ribosomal RNA". It matches the Rfam family "Bacterial small subunit ribosomal RNA", at positions 122 to 354 of the family's 1533-position model. Lineage: Bacteria; Bacillati; Bacillota; Bacilli; Lactobacillales; Lactobacillaceae. The record is from RNAcentral.